CAUGGAUAACUGUGGUAAUUCUAGAGCUAAUACAUGCAGCAAGCCUUGACCCUUACGGGCAAGGCGCAGUUAUUAGAUCAAAAACCAAUCGGUUGUGUCUUCGGAUGCAGCCGUUAGCUUGGUGACUCUGAGUAACCACAGCGAACCGUAUGGCCUCGUGCUCGACGGUCUGUCAGUCAAGCAACUGCCUUAUCAGCUUGUUGUUAGGUUAUAUGCCUAACAAGGCUUCAACGGGUAACGAACGAUCGGGGUCGGAUAUCGGAGAGGGAGCUUGAGAAACGGCUACCACUUCCAAGGAAGGCAGCAGGCGCGCAAAUUACCCACUCUCGGCAUGAGGAGGUAGCGAUAAAAUGUAUCGAUGCGGGGCCAUUAGUGCCUUCGUAAUCGGAAUGAGUACACUUUAAAUCCUAUAACAAGGACCUAUUGGAGGGCAAGUCUGGUGCCAGCAGCCGCGGUAAUUCCAGCUCCAAUAGCGUAUAUUAAUGCUGCUGCGGUUAAAAAGCUCGUAGUCGGAUCUGGGUUACCGGCGGGUACCGCAUGUUGCUUCACGCAGCAUGUUGUGUACUAUACGUGUCGCUUCGGCGGCACUGCCAGUGUAAUAGUGCCUCAUGUAGUCACGUUACGCUGGUCGCCGGAACCACGAGCCGGGUUGAGCAGCAUGCUCUUAAUUGAGUGUGUUGUUUACUCGGUGCGUUUACUUUGAAAAAAUUGGAGUGCUCAAAGCAAGCGUACAGUCGCUAUGCGGCUUGAACAGUGGUGCAUGGAAUAAUGGAAUAGGGCCUCGGUUCUAUUUUGUUGGUUUUAAGAUAUCGAGGUAAUGAUUAAGAGGGACAGACGGGGACGUUUGUAUUGCGACGUUAGAGGUGAAAUUCUUGGAUCGUCGCA
RNAcentral lists this ribosomal RNA (885 nucleotides) under Echiniscus tristis. Its description in RNAcentral is "SSU rRNA". It matches the Rfam family "Eukaryotic small subunit ribosomal RNA", at positions 138 to 932 of the family's 1831-position model. Lineage: Eukaryota; Metazoa; Tardigrada; Heterotardigrada; Echiniscoidea; Echiniscidae. The record is from RNAcentral.